UCAAAGGAAGACGGGGAGGUAAGGUUACAACUAUCACUAGCCAUCGGAUGGAGAGGAACCGGAAGCAGGGGACGUGGCUGCGGCUUCUUCUUCCUCUCUUGUUUCUCCUUUUCUUUUUUUUUCUUUUUUUUCUUUUUUUUUUCUUUUUUUUUUGAACGAGAUGGGGCAGCGAGGAGGUCGAGUGGUGGUCAAAGGUCGUUGGCCGGGGAGAAGUAGCGACGGUGGUCGAGCGACCGGGGAAAUAGAGACAAUGGUGGAGAAAGAGUUACCUUGUAGUGGUGGUGGGGAAGAAGGGAAGCAAGGCUGCAGGGGGCUGCACCAAGGAUCAUUGCACUAAGGUCGCUGCAUGGUGGCUGGCAGCGGUGGUGGGUCGGUUGGAAGGUGACGACGCUUGAGGCGUGGCUGCGAUCGACAAGGGGC
This 420-nucleotide long non-coding RNA is filed under the name Musa acuminata (dwarf banana). RNAcentral's name for it is "long non-coding RNA (MACU_LNC008031)". Lineage: Eukaryota; Viridiplantae; Streptophyta; Magnoliopsida; Zingiberales; Musaceae. The record is from RNAcentral.